Pogona vitticeps (central bearded dragon) is the source of this 1145-nucleotide non-coding RNA. Lineage: Eukaryota; Metazoa; Chordata; Lepidosauria; Squamata; Agamidae. The record is from RefSeq and is a predicted model, not a curated record.
CUGUUAUAUUUAGGAACAACUGUGGGAUUCUAUCAUCCCAGAAAGACAUCUGCAUUGGAAACAAACCUUAACAGGUACUGUUUUAGCGAAGAAUCCAAACUCCCAGAUCCAUUGGCUGGUAGGUGUUAGCAGAGAGCAGAGAGAGACCUCUGUCAAGAAGUAUACUUUUUGGCAGCAACCUUUUAGAAAAAUCCCUACAUAAUGGCCAACCAACUGUAUGCUGUCUCUUGCCUGCACACGAAAGAGGCUUCCUGCAGCUUCCAACUCCUCUAGAUUUUUAUCAGCCACUCACAGCAUCCUCUCCAUGGCAGCUGCUGCCAGAGUGGAUUUAGAGGAAUAUUGUGUUACCUCCAGCAUUUGAGACCUGCCCACCUGGACUUCAGAAGUUCCCAUGGAGGCCAUCUCGCCUCACCAAACUCUUCACCACUGAGACAAGGAGCGUGAGGCUAGCUAGCUCUGGCAGGAACUACCUUCAAAAAGUGCCUGUUGCAUCUUGAAAUAGCAUAUGUGUAUGUCUAUGUCUAUGUGUAUGCAUCUGUAUCAGACUGUGUCUGAAGUGUGUAUAUAUGGUUUGUAUGUAUGUGCAUGUAUGUGUUUGGGUAACCCUAUUCCGCUUAAGAUAGCUUCCUAUCAACUGAUGGUAUAUAGGCUGUGGGAUGGAAAGAGGAAAAUCCUGUUCUGUAUGAUUAGAAACCUCUCUGGUUUCAAUGUAAUGGAGCCCUGUGGCAGUAAAACUCCCUCCCACAAAGUGCCGAUGCCUGUUUCUCCAGCCCCAGCUUCUUGCCUUCCUUCAUAUUUUUAUCCUCUAGCUUAGAGGCGUUGGAGAAUAAAGGAGAAAUUAAUGUGGCUGCAGCUCAUGCAUUAUCCUCUUGGGGAUGUGAUUGAUUGGCUGAUUGGCUGGCGGCUUCCAGACAACCCUUGGAACAGUCAAGCUUCUCUGCAAUCUAAACAGCUAUUCAGCAGUAACACAGUUUGGACGAACAAUAGCAAGCCAGAGUUUUCCACAUGGUGUUCCAGGCCGGUAUGGCUCACAAAAGCGAUAGCUAGCUGGGCUCACUGGAGAGUUACAGAUCAAGGACAACACUCUGUUUUGCUCAACACGCAUCUGACAAGCCUUCACAAUUUGUUCUGCCUACAGCCCUCCU